RNAcentral lists this ribosomal RNA (802 nucleotides) under uncultured bacterium. Its description in RNAcentral is "bacterial SSU rRNA". It matches the Rfam family "Bacterial small subunit ribosomal RNA", at positions 59 to 878 of the family's 1533-position model. The record is from RNAcentral.
AAGUCGAACGGUGAAGAGAAGCUUGCUUCUCGGAUCAGUGGCGGACGGGUGAGUAACACGUGAGCAACCUGCCUUUAAGAGGGGGAUAACGUUUGGAAACGAACGCUAAUACCGCAUAACAUAGAAGAUUCGCAUGUUUCUUCUAUCAAAGAUUUAUCGCUUAAAGAUGGGCUCGCGUCUGAUUAGCUGGUUGGUGAGGUAACGGCUCACCAAGGCGACGAUCAGUAGCCGUACUGAGAGGUAGAACGGCCACAUUGGGACUGAGACACGGCCCAGACUCCUACGGGAGGCAGCAGUGGGGAAUAUUGCACAAUGGAGGGAACUCUGAUGCAGCGAUGCCGCGUGAGGGAAGAAGGUUUUAGGAUUGUAAACCUCUGUCUUCAGGGACGAUAAUGACGGUACCUGAGGAGGAAGCUCCGGCUAACUACGUGCCAGCAGCCGCGGUAAUACGUAGGGAGCGAGCGUUGUCCGGAAUUACUGGGUGUAGAGGGAGCGUAGGCGGGAUCUUAAGUCAGGUGUGAAAACUAUGGGCUCAACCCAUAGACUGCACUUGAAACUGAGGUUCUUGAGUGAAGUAGAGGCAGGCGGAAUUCCUAGUGUAGCGGUGAAAUGCGUAGAUAUUAGGAGGAACAUCAGUGGCGAAGGCGGCCUGCUGGGCUUUUACUGACGCUGAGGCUCGAAAGCGUGGGGAGCAAACAGGACUAGAUACCCUGGUAGUCCACGCUGUAAACGAUGAUUACUAGGUGUGGGGGGACUGACCCCUUCCGUGCCGCAGUUAACACAAUAAGUAAUCCACCUGGGG